Molecule: transfer RNA, 80 nt
Filed under: Caudoviricetes sp.
Lineage: Duplodnaviria; Heunggongvirae; Uroviricota; Caudoviricetes
Description: tRNA-OTHER
Rfam family: tRNA
About the family: Transfer RNA (tRNA) molecules are approximately 80 nucleotides in length.
Source: RNAcentral
GGGGCUAUAGCUCAAUGGCUAGAGCGUGGGAAACUGAUCAACCCAAACGGUUCAUGGUUCAAGUCCAUGUAGCUCCACCA